This 372-nucleotide ribosomal RNA is filed under the name uncultured organism. Its description in RNAcentral is "bacterial SSU rRNA". It matches the Rfam family "Bacterial small subunit ribosomal RNA", at positions 526 to 896 of the family's 1533-position model. The record is from RNAcentral.
CAGAGACUGCAAGCGUUAUUCGGAUUCACUGGGCGUAAAGGGUGCGCAGGCGGUUGGGUGUGUCAGAUGUGAAAUCCCGAGGCUCAACCUCGGAACUGCGUCUGAAACUACCCGACUAGAGUACUGGAGAGGGUAACGGAAUUCACGGUGUAGCAGUGAAAUGCGUAGAUAUCGUGAGGAACACCAGAGGCGAAGGCGGUUACCUGGACAGUUACUGACGCUCAGGCACGAAAGCAUGGGGAGCAAAAGGGAUUAGAUACCCCUGUAGUCCAUGCCCUAAACGGUGCACACUAGGUCUUAGCGGAUUCGACCCCAGUAGGGCCCAAGCUAACGCGUUAAGUGUGCCGCCUGAGGACUACGGUCGCAAGACUA